GGGGCUUGCUGAGAAAAGUGAUAUUAACAAACAUGCAGGUAUCACUUUUCAUAACAGACCUACUAGCUAUCUGUGAAAAGUGAUAAGUGAUAUUAACAAACAUACAAGUAUCACUUUUCAUAGCCUC
Molecule: small nucleolar RNA, 127 nt
Filed under: Chelydra serpentina (North American snapping turtle)
Lineage: Eukaryota; Metazoa; Chordata; Testudines; Chelydridae
Description: Small nucleolar RNA SNORA11 (ENSCSRG00000004487.1)
Source: Rfam by way of RNAcentral